GCUAAAAAGCUCGUAGUUGGAUUUUGGUGUUUGACAAACGGUCGGCCUUACGGUUUGUACUGUUUGUUGGCACUUCUUUUCUGGGGAACUCACUGUUCUUAAUUGAAGGGUGUUGUAACGCAGAUCGUUUACUUUGAAAAAAUUAGAGUGUUCAAAGCAGGCCAACGCAUUGAAUACAUUAGCAUGGAAUAAUGGAAUAGGACUUUGGUCUUAUUUUGUUGGUUUCUAAGGCCGAGGUAAUGAUUAAUAGGGAUAGUUGGGGGCGUUUAUAUUCCGUUGUCAGAGGUGAAAUUCUUGGAUUUACGGAAGAUAAACUACUGCGAAAGCAUUCGCCAAGGAUGUUUUCAUUAAUCAAGAACGAAAGUUAGGGGAUCGAAGACGAUCAGAUACCGUCGUAGUCUUAACCAUAAACCAUGCCGACUAGGGAUCAGCAGACGUUCUUUAACGACUCUGUUGGCACCUUGUGAGAAAUCAAGUUUUUGGGUUCCGGGGGGAGUAUGGUCGCAAAGCCUGAAACUUAAAGGAAU
RNAcentral lists this ribosomal RNA (527 nucleotides) under uncultured eukaryote. Its description in RNAcentral is "SSU rRNA". It matches the Rfam family "Eukaryotic small subunit ribosomal RNA", at positions 618 to 1153 of the family's 1831-position model. The record is from RNAcentral.